RNAcentral lists this long non-coding RNA (1113 nucleotides) under Homo sapiens (human). Its description in RNAcentral is "HSALNT0188368". Lineage: Eukaryota; Metazoa; Chordata; Mammalia; Primates; Hominidae. The record is from RNAcentral.
AAAAAAAAAAAAAAAAAGAAUCACUAACCUGGUUCAGCCUUUUCAUUUGGCAGAUGAGAAAACUGAGGACUCAGAAAUUAAAUAACUUGCCUAAGAUGGUAGAGCUCUCUUCAAACAGAACCAGAAAUUAUGGUGCUACAAAAAUACCUGCUUAUCUUAGAGCCAAAACAUUUCAAUUUUAAAAAAUGGCCUCGUAUGGCAGAUACAUAAGUCAGCUCCAGAUCGACUGCAAGAACAAACCAGCAAUCCUGAGAGGAUCCACAGACUCUCUGAAGGAAGCAGACUGCUCCUGCAGGACCCAGGAGACCCCCAAAUACUGUGAGUGCCCCAACUGCAGUGCCACAACUGCAGAAGUGGGAAAGGGAGACCCUCCUCUCCCGAACACACACCCCCACUGGAGAAGCCGAAGAUCUGUUUGUGGGAGAAGUUUCUGACUUUACCUGAAGCUGAGUCAAGUUAGAGAGCCAAGCGAAAAACAGGGGUAGAGGAAGCGGCAGAAAGGCCCUGGAAGCUCGCUGGGUGCCCCUGCAGCCCAUUCCUGCCUGGCACCACAGGGAUCCACUGAGAGGGUGGCCAGAGAUGCAGGGGGUAAAACUCCACAGGGAGAAGGAAUGCUCUAGCCGAAAUUUGUACCAAUUUGAACAGGGUGAGAAACCUCCUGGCCAGAACUCAGGGGAGGGCGUGAAUCCAGUAUGCAGACUUCACUCGUAGGGGAAGAACUAAAGCCCUUUUCUUUCACAGCUGUGAGGCAGAUAGCCUUGGGCAAGUUUUCAAGCCUAUCUCUCCCUCUUCCUGGAAACAGACUCAGGGCUGUUGGUGGGACAUGGUGGGAGUGAGACCAGCCCUUCCGUUUGCAUGAGAGCUGGGUGAGGGCUCUGACUGCCAGCUUUCCUCCACUUCCCUGAUAACCUGCAUGACUCAGCAGAGGCAGCCCUAAUCCUCCUAGGUACACAACUCCAGUGACCUGGGAAUCUCACUCCCAUCUCCCACAGCAGCCACAGCAAGACUUGCCCAAGGAGAGUCUGAGCCUCCUGAACAGUCUGAGCGUAUGCCUAGCCCUGCCCCCACCUGAUGGUCCUUCCCUAUCCACCCUGGUAGUGGAAGAUAAACGGC